This 403-nucleotide ribosomal RNA is filed under the name uncultured Helicobacter sp. Its description in RNAcentral is "bacterial SSU rRNA". It matches the Rfam family "Bacterial small subunit ribosomal RNA", at positions 64 to 496 of the family's 1533-position model. The record is from RNAcentral. Lineage: Bacteria; Pseudomonadati; Campylobacterota; Epsilonproteobacteria; Campylobacterales; Helicobacteraceae.
UAACGAUGAAGCUUUCUAGCUUGCUAGAAGUGGAUUAGUGGCGCACGGGUGAGUAAUGCAUAGGUUAUGUGCCCCAUAGUCUGGGAUAGCCACUGGAAACGGUGAUUAAUACCGGAUACUCCUUACGAAGGAAAGUUUUUCGCUAUGGGAUCAGCCUAUGUCCUAUCAGCUUGUUGGUGAGGUAAUGGCUCACCAAGGCUAUGACGGGUAUCCGGCCUGAGAGGGUGAACGGACACACUGGAACUGAGACACGGUCCAAACUCCUACGGGAGGCAGCAGUAGGGAAUAUUGCUCAAUGGGCGAAAGCCUGAAGCAGCAACGCCGCGUGGAGGAUGAAGGUUUUAGGAUUGUAAACUCCUUUUGUUAGAGAAGAUUAUGACGGUAUCUCACGAAUAAGCACUAC